UGGGGGAUAUUGCACAAUGGGCGAAAGCCUGAUGCAGCGACGCCGCGUGGGGGAUGAAGGCCUUCGGGUUGUAAACUUCUUUUGCUCUGAACAAGGCAUGCUUUUGGGGUGUGUUGAGUGUAGGGGUUGAUUAGCGCCGGCUAACUACGUGCCAGCAGCCGCGGUAAUACGUAGGGCGCGAGCGGUGUCCGGAAUUAUUGGGCGUAAAGGGCUUGUAGGUGGCUGGUUGCGUCUGUCGUGAAAGCUCAUGGCUUAACUGUGGGUUUGCGGUGGGUACGGGCUGGCUUGAGUGCAGUAGGGGAGGCUGGAAUUCCUGGUGUAGCGGUGGAAUGCGCAGAUAUCAGGAGGAAUACCGGUGGCGAAGGCGAGUCUCUGGGCUGUUACUGACGCUGAGGAGCGAAAGCGUGGGGAGCGAACAGG
Molecule: ribosomal RNA, 420 nt
Filed under: Fusobacteriota bacterium
Lineage: Bacteria; Fusobacteriati; Fusobacteriota
Description: Fusobacteria bacterium partial 16S ribosomal RNA
Rfam family: Bacterial small subunit ribosomal RNA
Source: RNAcentral